Long non-coding RNA from Amphiprion ocellaris (clown anemonefish), 901 nucleotides. The record is from Ensembl. NCBI's taxonomy places the organism in Eukaryota, Metazoa, Chordata, Actinopteri, Pomacentridae.
CACUAAUCAUGAGUUACAGAAGGAGUCACAGUACCACUAAUCAGGAGGUAUAGAAGGAGUCAUAGUACCACUAAUCCACUAAUCAGGAGGUCUAGGAGGAGUCAUAGUACCACUAAUCAGGAGGUCUAGGAGGAGUCAUAGUACCACUAAUCAGGAGGUCUAGGAGGAGUCGUAGUACCACUAAUCAGGAGGUCUAGAAGGAGUCAUAGUACCACUAAUCAGGAGGUCUAGGAGGAGUCAUAGUACCACUAAUCAGGAAGUAUAGAAGAAGUCACAGUACCACUAAUCAGGAGGUAUAGAAGGAGUCAUAGUACCACUAAUCAGGAAGUAUAGAAGGAGUCACAGUACCACUAAUCCACUAAUCAGGAGGUCUAUAAGGAGUCAUAGUACCACUAAUCAGGAGGUCUAGGAGGAGUCAUAGUACCACUAAUCAGGAGGUCUUGGAGGAGUCAUAGUACCACUAAUUAGGAGGUCUAGAAGGAGUCAUAGUACCACUAAUCAGGAAGUAUAGAAGGAGUCACAGUACCACUAAUCCACUAAUCAGGAGGUCUAGGAGGAGUCAUAGUACCACUAAUCAGGAGGUCUAUAUGGAGUCAUAGUACCACUAAUCAGGAGGUAUAGAAGGAGUCAUAGUACAUAGCUCAGAUGGAGUCCAGAUGUUUGGUGUGAACCUGACCAGGACUACCACAGUGGAUGCAUAGUCCUGACGGUGAAGCACGGAGGUGGGAGUGUGAUGACAAAUGAGCUGAUACUCAAACAAAGUUUUAAAAAAGUAGUUUCUGUCAUUUUAUUUUGGAUGAAUUGUGAAGAAUUUAGUGAAAACACUGAUGAAAUAUGAUCUGACUUUAGAAGGAUGGAAUGUUUGAUCUUUUUUUCUUGUAUUUUUCCAGUUAAUUACCCC